RNAcentral lists this non-coding RNA (21 nucleotides) under Arabidopsis thaliana (thale cress). Lineage: Eukaryota; Viridiplantae; Streptophyta; Magnoliopsida; Brassicales; Brassicaceae. The record is from RNAcentral.
UAAAGCUUGGGUCUGGUUACC